This 480-nucleotide ribosomal RNA is filed under the name uncultured bacterium. RNAcentral's name for it is "partial 16S ribosomal RNA". It matches the Rfam family "Bacterial small subunit ribosomal RNA", at positions 28 to 507 of the family's 1533-position model. The record is from RNAcentral.
GAUGAACGCUAGCGGCAGGCCUAACACAUGCAAGUCGAGGGGUAGAAGGAGCUUGCUCCUUUGAGACCGGCGCACGGGUGCGUAACGCGUAUGCAAUCUACCUUGUACAGGGGAAUAGCCCAGAGAAAUUUGGAUUAAUGCCCCAUAGUAUAUAACCUUCGCAUGUUGGUUAUAUUAAAGUUCCAACGGUACAAGAUGAGCAUGCGUCCCAUUAGUUAGUUGGUAAGGUAACGGCUUACCAAGACGAUGAUGGGUAGGGGUCCUGAGAGGGAGAUCCCCCACACUGGUACUGAGACACGGACCAGACUCCUACGGGAGGCAGCAGUGAGGAAUAUUGGUCAAUGGUCGCAAGACUGAACCAGCCAUGCCGCGUGCAGGAAGACGGUCCUAUGGAUUGUAAACUGCUUUUAUACAGGAAGAAACCCUCCCACGUGUGGGAGCUUGACGGUACUGUAGGAAUAAGGAUCGGCUAGCUCCGUG